UACGGAGGGUGCAAGCGUUAUCCGGAUUUACUGGGUUUAAAGGGUGCGCAGGCGGAUAUGUAAGUCAGUGGUGAAAUCUCUAGGCUUAACCUGGAAAUUGCCGUUGAUACUAUAUAUCUUGAAUGCUGUGGAGGUAAGCGGAAUAUGUCAUGUAGCGGUGAAAUGCUUAGAUAUGACAUAGAACACCUAUUGCGAAGGCAGCUUACUACACAGAUAUUGACGCUCAUGCACGAAAGCGUGGGGAUCAAAC
RNAcentral lists this ribosomal RNA (250 nucleotides) under uncultured bacterium. Its description in RNAcentral is "partial 16S ribosomal RNA". It matches the Rfam family "Bacterial small subunit ribosomal RNA", at positions 524 to 773 of the family's 1533-position model. The record is from RNAcentral.